Molecule: ribosomal RNA, 253 nt
Filed under: uncultured bacterium
Lineage: Bacteria
Description: partial 16S ribosomal RNA
Rfam family: Bacterial small subunit ribosomal RNA
Source: RNAcentral
UACGUAGGGGGCAAGCGUUGUCCGGAAUCAUUGGGCGUAAAGAGCGUGUAGGCGGCCCGGUAAGUCCGCUGUGAAAGUCCAGGGCUCAACCCUGGGAUGCCGGUGGAUACUGUCGGGCUCGAGUCCGGAAGAGGAGUGUGGAAUUCCUGGUGUAGCGGUGAAAUGCGCAGAUAUCAGGAGGAACACCAAUGGCGAAGGCAGCACUCUGGGACGUGACUGAUGCUGAGACGCGAAAGCGUGGGGAGCAAACAGG